UACGUAGGGUGCGAGCGUUAAUCGGAUUUACUGGGCGUAAAGCGUGCGCAGGCGGCCCGUUAAGACAGGUGUGAAAUCCCUGGGCUCAACCUAGGAAUUGCGCUUGUGACUGGCGGGCUCGAGUACGGUAGAGGGGGGUGGAAUUCCUGGUGUAGCAGUGAAAUGCGUAGAGAUCAGGAGGAACACCGAUGGCGAAGGCAGCCCCCUGGGCCUGUACUGACACUGAGGCGCGAAAGCGUGGGGAGCAAACAGG
This 253-nucleotide ribosomal RNA is filed under the name uncultured microorganism. RNAcentral describes it as "partial 16S ribosomal RNA". It matches the Rfam family "Bacterial small subunit ribosomal RNA", at positions 524 to 776 of the family's 1533-position model. The record is from RNAcentral.